RNAcentral lists this small RNA (28 nucleotides) under Bombyx mori (domestic silkworm). RNAcentral's name for it is "ovarian small RNA-8537". Lineage: Eukaryota; Metazoa; Arthropoda; Insecta; Lepidoptera; Bombycidae. The record is from RNAcentral.
UGCCACGUAUGCGGACCGCUUGAGGCGU